This 17-nucleotide small RNA is filed under the name Arabidopsis thaliana (thale cress). RNAcentral describes it as "ATSL000560". The record is from RNAcentral. Lineage: Eukaryota; Viridiplantae; Streptophyta; Magnoliopsida; Brassicales; Brassicaceae.
GUAUUUUGGUGUUGGGU